RNAcentral lists this ribosomal RNA (450 nucleotides) under uncultured bacterium. RNAcentral's name for it is "partial 16S ribosomal RNA". It matches the Rfam family "Bacterial small subunit ribosomal RNA", at positions 354 to 796 of the family's 1533-position model. The record is from RNAcentral.
GUGGGGAAUCUUCCGCAAUGGACGAAAGUCUGACGGAGCAACGCCGCGUGAGUGAUGAAGGUCUUCGGAUUGUAAAGCUCUGUUAAUCGGGACGAAAGAGCCUAGUGUGAAUAAUGCUAGGAAGUGACGGUACCGGAAUAGAAAGCCACGGCUAACUACGUGCCAGCAGCCGCGGUAAUACGUAGGUGGCAAGCGUUGUCCGGAAUUAUUGGGCGUAAAGCGCGCGCAGGCGGAUCUGCCAGUCUGUCUUAAAAGUUCGGGGCUUAACCCCGUGAUGGGAUGGAAACUACAGAUCUAGAGUAUCGGAGAGGAAAGUGGAAUUCCUAGUGUAGCGGUGAAAUGCGUAGAUAUUAGGAAGAACACCAGUGGCGAAGGCGACUUUCUGGACGAAAACUGACGCUGAGGCGCGAAAGCCAGGGGAGCGAAUGGGAUUAGAAACCCCUGUAGUCC